AGGACGAACGCUGGCGGCGUGCUUAACACAUGCAAGUCGAGCGGAAAGGCCCUUCGGGGUACUCGAGCGGCGAACGGGUGAGUAACACGUGAGCAACCUGCCCUUAGCUCUGGGAUAGCUCCGGGAAACCUGAAUUAAUACCGGAUAUGACCUAGGCCGACAUCGGCCGUGGUGGAAAGUUUUUCGGCUAGGGAUGGACUCGCGGCCUAUCAGCUAGUUGGUGGGGUAAUGGCCUACCAAGGCGACGACGGGUAGCCGGCCUGAGAGGGCGACCGGCCACACUGGGACUGAGACACGGCCCAGACUCCUACGGGAGGCAGCAGUGGGGAAUCUCGCGCAAUGGGCGAAAGCCUGACGCAGCGACGCCGCGUGGGGGAUGAAGGCCUUCUGGUUGUAAACCCCUUUCAGCAGGGACGAAGCGAAAGUGACGGUACCUGCAGAAGAAGCGCCGGCUAACUACGUGCCAGCAGCCGC
RNAcentral lists this ribosomal RNA (474 nucleotides) under uncultured bacterium. Its description in RNAcentral is "SSU rRNA". It matches the Rfam family "Bacterial small subunit ribosomal RNA", at positions 26 to 518 of the family's 1533-position model. The record is from RNAcentral.